This 693-nucleotide unclassified non-coding RNA is filed under the name Hevea brasiliensis (rubber tree). The record is from RNAcentral. Lineage: Eukaryota; Viridiplantae; Streptophyta; Magnoliopsida; Malpighiales; Euphorbiaceae.
GCUUAAUUUCUUUUUAACGCCAUAGAAGUGGAAUAACCAAUCAGCACAUCUAAAUGCUAUGAGCUGAACUUUGAUGUUUUUUUCCUUGUUACUGAAUGAAAGCGUACAACAAUCUAUCUAACUCUACAACUAUUACAAAUCUCUUCAUUUAAGGCGUCUCCCUCCAACCUUGAGCAUUUCCAGAUAACUGGGACCUCAAUCUUCACCAAAGUCGCAGUUCAUGCCAUCAAAGCUCAGCAAUAUAGCUUUCACUCCGCACCACAUCAUCAGCCCUCAGCAAUACAGAGUACAGACCACAACCAGGAAACAAGGAAAAGAAUUUUGUUAUGGAAAAUACAAUUCCACACCAGGGUAGAAUGCUCAGGCUAAGAAAUAAAAACAUGAGGUAUGCCUUCCUAUUACAGUAAAAUACAUGCAACAUACGACUUCCACAGGAUUGUCAUAGCAACUAAACUGAAGGCGGCUACAGAAAUAUACACUUCAAUUAAAAAGAGUCCCAAUCUUUUCACACAUUCAAAUCCAAAUUGGUAAAAGUGAGUUCCAUAUCCUUGAUUUAUUAUCUACUUCACGUGCUCCUUUUGACGGCUACUUAAAUCUUAAUACAAUUCCAGUAACAAUUAUUGAUCACCAAUAAAGAUGAAACUAAGAACUUGUUUAAAUAGUCUGUUGAAGUCACAACAAACUAAUUUUAUG